Daphnia pulicaria is the source of this 1340-nucleotide long non-coding RNA. RefSeq lists it as uncharacterized. NCBI's taxonomy places the organism in Eukaryota, Metazoa, Arthropoda, Branchiopoda, Diplostraca, Daphniidae. The transcript has 2 exons. The record is from RefSeq and is a predicted model, not a curated record.
AGAAUAACCCCCCUCGCAGUUUCAGCAACUUUUCUCUUUUUUUUCUUCUUAUGCUCUACUAUAUUGGGGAGGAACUCCUGUAGAGACGCAGAAGAAGAAGAAGAUAUUCAUCGGUCCGGCGCGCUUAUCGGUACGCGCCUAGUCUAAGCCCAGCAGCCAUCCAUCCAGCCAGCCCCCCCUUAGACGGUGGUGGUGGGUGCCGUCGACUAUGGCGCGACCAACGACUUUUUUUUUGGCUGCCAAAGUUCAUUCCAAUGUUUACGGUCUUAGGCAUUUGAAAGGAAAAAAGAAAAUGGGUAUACCUUUUUCUCCGAUCAUUCCCAGGACCCGGUUACGAGACACUCUCUCUGCUCCUGCUGUCUUUUUCUUUCAGGUGUUGGCCAGAUGAAGUGGCUCCAGGACAAGAUCCAUCCAGCAGCAGCAGGGGUGUAAAACGUCGUUACGUUCUUUCUCUUUCCCGCCAGCACGUCGUCAUAUUUCCAACAUUUCUUUUCUUUUUUUUUUGCUCGGCCCAUCUGCGUAAAUGAAUAAGAAUUUUCCGGCAUUUUUUCUUCUUUAACCAGUUUCAAACAAAAUAUGUUUCUAUCCAACGAGUUUUUUCCAAAUGGCAUUUAUUUCUGCCGACACUUUACUUUCUUUUAACGGCCUUCCUGACAACCUUCUCUAUUCAAACUUUAAACAUAUUGUGAAUGAAAGGAUAUGGCACAUGAUUCUUCCGACGACCUUUUUUUUCCCUCCACCACUUUUGGGUGUAUUUCGCCGGAGCAGCGGAUUACAACAUCGUCGAAUACCAUUCCGUCGUCGUCAGAAGAUGGACACAUAGAUUCUGAAAGGUUUAGACCCAUUAAAGAAAAGCCCCCCGCUUGCCAUGUAGAAGAAUGUUAAAGAAAGAAAGUCCCUUUCUCCGCUCAUAUAAUAGUAAUAAUAAUAUAUCCCCCUAUGUGUGUAUUAUAUGAUAAUCUCUAUGGGGGCACAAAUUGAAGAUGUCGCCAUCGGGGCUUUCUUCUUUUUCUUUCUUAAACAAUUUUUUGAUCGAAAACUUGUUUUCCCCGUGCUGCAACUAAAUCCCCCCUUGUUUCCGUGUAAUCGCUUUUGGUUGUUGUUUCUUUUAUUCUCCACUUUCCAGUCGAGUUUCUAGUAAUUGGGUGCGUGAUGGAUGAUUGAGAUCGAAAAAGAGCUCUGCUGUCCUGUUUUGUUUUGUUAUAUUUCGAUAGAAAAAGAAAACUUAUGACGACUGUCUGUUGCUCCUGUUGUUCGGUGCACCCCCGGAAAAGAAACAUGGCGCGCGCCCACGUUUUUCCAGCAGACAAUAAAAAGGAACGACCAUUUUUCCAGAGAAA